CUCGUAGGUGGUUCGUCGCGUCCGGUGUGAAAGUCCAUCGCUUAACGGUGGAUCUGCGCCGGGUACGGGCGGGCUGGAGUGCGGUAGGGGAGACUGGAAUUCCCGGUGUAACGGUGGAAUGUGUAGAUAUCGGGAAGAACACCAAUGGCGAAGGCAGGUCUCUGGGCCGUUACUGACGCUGAGGAGCGAAAGCGUGGGGAGCGAACA
Molecule: ribosomal RNA, 207 nt
Filed under: uncultured bacterium
Lineage: Bacteria
Description: partial 16S ribosomal RNA
Rfam family: Bacterial small subunit ribosomal RNA
Source: RNAcentral